RNAcentral lists this ribosomal RNA (253 nucleotides) under uncultured bacterium. RNAcentral describes it as "partial 16S ribosomal RNA". It matches the Rfam family "Bacterial small subunit ribosomal RNA", at positions 524 to 776 of the family's 1533-position model. The record is from RNAcentral.
UACGGGGGGGGCAAGCGUUGUUCGGAAUUACUGGGCGUAAAGGGCUCGUAGGUGGCCAACUAAGUCAGACGUGAAAUCCCUCGGCUUAACCGGGGAACUGCGUCUGAUACUGGAUGGCUUGAGUUUGGGAGAGGGACGCGGAAUUCCAGGUGUAGCGGUGAAAUGCGUAGAUAUCUGGAGGAACACCGGUGGCGAAGGCGGCGUCCUGGACCAAUACUGACACUGAUGAGCGAAAGCCAGGGGAGCAAACAGG